RNAcentral lists this long non-coding RNA (1888 nucleotides) under Olea europaea subsp. europaea. Lineage: Eukaryota; Viridiplantae; Streptophyta; Magnoliopsida; Lamiales; Oleaceae. The record is from RNAcentral.
UUAUUCCAUAUUUUUUUUCUUAAAUUAUAACGCAACUCAAAUACAAAAGCCAUGGAAGCCUUCAACCACCGAACCCUGAUUGCUUCACCAUGAUUGUCCAGGUUGAGCAGCAUUAUUCGACUUGAAUUACAAUCCCGCUACACAUACACGCCGCUUUAACUGUUGGGUUACACGAUGACGUGGCAAAGAAAACUUAUUAAUGGGUAACAUGUCUUGAACCGGCGCAAAUUGAAGAAACCCGCUUACCCUCGCUUUCUUUCACUUUCUCAGUUGCCCCAAAGGCAGAAAACCCUCUCUAACAAACGAACUGAUACAAGGAGAUCUGCGGGUGCGCUCCACCAUAUUGAGAAGACGGUGAUAAAUAUAGUGGUCAUCUCCAUGGUUUUGUUUUCCACCCGAAGUUAAGCGCACGGUUGUGAGGAAAAAAAAUAUUUAGCCGCAAGAUUGGAGCAAAGUCGCCCGUUGCUGAGGCCUUCUUCCCCGGUGGAAUCUUGAGCAAUAUUAUGUAAGUAGAAUAUUUGGUCAUUUAUUUUUACUAUGGGGAAGUAAUUUAUGUUUUAAGAAAUGGAAAAAUCUAACUCUCACCCCUAUUUCUUCGAAGAACCCGACGUACUGGGCUACAAAGUUUCGAACUCCAUUUCGAAUAUAUACAAGUUUCGAAUAUAUGAUAAUCUGGGCUAGUGUUGAACAUAUGGCAGUCUAGGUUGCACAGUUUCGAACUUCAUUAGUAUGCCUUUCAAUCUCAAGUCAUACCGUUGUUUGGAGAUGGUGAAUGUACAUAAUUUGUGUGAAUAAUAAUCAAUAUGAAUAAAAUCUACUUGUAAACUGUUAGAAAUAUUUCUUUGAAGGGUUUGUGUAAUUUUUAAAUAUAAUCAUAAAUCUGGAGAGAAAUGUUUCUACCUACCAGUAAUAUGAUAAGGCAUAAAAGAGUUCAAUUUUGUCAAAAGCCUUUGAUGUGUGACCACAUCAAUAAGAGAAUUUGGACUCACAAUUGAAUUUGAUAGGCAUAAUCUCAGACAGAGUAUAUAAUGUUGAAGCCCUUUUGUUUUCUUAUGGUGGCAUGUAAAGAGUGGGUUAAAUGUGUAAGUUUGUUAAUGUUAUUAUUGAUAUGGUUCUUAACAUUCAUGUUUGGUUUUAAAUUCAAUUUUUUUGAGUAUCUUGAUUCUACCGAGCAAGGGGAUUUUGUUAAAAAUGUUGUUUAGUUGUUUAAUGUGGUGUAAUCUGUGUGUCGUUUGUGUGUAGUAUGCCGAGUAAGAACUCUGGUCUUUGUCAUAACUGUAAAGAGAAGGUCCACUUGUUUGCGGAUUGCCCGGACAAAAGGUGAUGCCCCUUGGGUAAAAGUGGAUUUGUGAAGUGCUUCGAGGUCGAGAGGGAGACGAAGAAUAAGGGAAGACUGUUCAAUUGCUGCAAUGCUAACUGUAAAUAUUGGGCAUGGGUCGAUGAGGGAGAAUCAAGCUAUGGAUCAAGUGAUGUUACCAUUAACUCGAAUAAUCAUGCAGCAAUCGACCAAGUUUAGGAGUUCUCUUGCAUGUUCUAGUCUCUUUGUCAUGUGGUGUCCGAGGAACAAGACAUUGAGAUUUCUUUGAACGUGACUAUAAGGAAGGCCAACGAAAGUGCGGGAGUUGAUGUGAAAGGGAAGGGGCCAGCAUGAGUAAUGGUUAUAUUUUCUUAUGAAAAGGAAGGGGCCAACAAAAUGUGUUGUGUUAUUUUUAUUUCAUGUGUAAUAUGUGCCGUUGGUGAGCCGAACAAGUCAUUGUAAUAUAUUUGCUUUCGAUGUUUGAAUCGCUAUGUUAACGAUGUCGGUGUUAAUAGUAGCGGACUAGAAUUUGUCUUGUUUGUUAUAUUAUUUGUGUUCUUCAUUGUGCUAAGAUAGAUUUAAGUGUUAUAG